RNAcentral lists this ribosomal RNA (253 nucleotides) under uncultured bacterium. Its description in RNAcentral is "partial 16S ribosomal RNA". It matches the Rfam family "Bacterial small subunit ribosomal RNA", at positions 524 to 776 of the family's 1533-position model. The record is from RNAcentral.
UACGUAGGAGACGAGCGUUGUUCGGAUUCACUGGGCGUAAAGGGUGCGUAGGCGGUCGGGUAAGUCUGAUGUGAAAUCUCACAGCUUAACUGUGAAACUGCAUUGGAUACUAUCCGGCUCGAGGAAUGGAGGGGAGACUGGAAUACUUGGUGUAGCAGUGAAAUGCGUAGAUAUCAAGUGGAACACCAGUGGCGAAGGCGAGUCUCUGGACAUUUCCUGACGCUGAGGCACGAAAGCCAGGGGAGCAAACGGG